CACUUCGGCAAGGACGUAGAGCAAACAGUUGGCUUCAGCUGCUCCUGAGUCUCCAGUGCUCUUACAAAGCACUCCUGGGUCCUCUGGAAUCCUGGUGGACAGCAAGGCACUUUCCCUGUAGAAGACCAGACCUUGGCUGACUUCUCCCUGC
This is a long non-coding RNA of Microtus oregoni (creeping vole), 151 nucleotides long. RefSeq lists it as uncharacterized. Lineage: Eukaryota; Metazoa; Chordata; Mammalia; Rodentia; Cricetidae. The transcript is spliced from 3 exons. The record is from RefSeq and is a predicted model, not a curated record.